GAUUCGAUUAAAUAUAAAAUCAAUUAUAUUUUUUAAGGUAUCGUGAAAAAUAAUUUAAUUAAUUAACUUUAAUUUGUGAUAGUUUAUAGCUAUGAGGAAGUAAAAGAAUGUUUAGUAUAUCCAAUGAUCAAAGUAUUAUUGCUUAGAAAACUUGAGAUGUUAAAUAAUGUUAAAAUCAGUAUAGUCGAUGAAAUAUACAGAUAUGAUAGAAAAGAACAAGAUAUAUUGGCAGCUAACCCAUGGGAAAAAGAAUAUGUCUAAUAUAAAUGUAUAAUCAUUUGUACAAGUUUAACAUCUUUCUUUAGACGUUCAUAAUAAGUAAAAAUCAUAUUUAAUUUUACUAAUGUAUUGGAUUUUCUCGAUAUAGUCCUCAUUUUUUCAAAGAUAUUAAAAUCUUAGCAUUAGCAUCGUUAAAAAUGGUAAUGCAUACAUUCUGGUGGAACGUUAAAGGUAAUGGGUCUUCUGCUUGAAAAAGUAACAGCAAAUACAAUGAUUGUUAUGGAUUCUUUUGCAUUACCUGUUGAAGAGACAGAAAUAAGGGUCGGCAAACAAGAGAAUGCUAUUGGCUGAUAUUAUAAUCAUCCAGGUUAUGGAUGUGGGUUGUCUGAUAUUGAUGUAUCUACACAAAUGCUUAGUCAAAAUUUUCAAAAACCAUUUGUUGCUGUUGUAAUUGAUCCUGUGCGAACUAUUUCUGCGGAUAAAGUUUGCUUAGGAGCAUUUAUAACUUAUCUAAAAAUACAUUGAGAAAGUCAUAUAGAAUCAUAAAUUAUAAUAUAUUUUAUCAUAAUGUAUUAAUAUCAAAAUAAUUUGUACUAUAUUAAUGUCAAUGACUAUUCUUAAUUUGGAAGGAUAUAAGCCUGCUAAUGAGGAACCAUCAAAAUAUCAAAUAAUACCUUUAAAUAAAAUCGAAGACUUUGAUGUAUAUUGUAAACAAUAUUAUUCAUUAGAAGUAUCAUAUUUCAAAUCGUCAUUAGAUAGACGAUUGCUAGAUUCUUUAUGGUAUAAAUACUAGGUGGUUGUGAUUUUUCAUGUCUUAUUAUGACACAAGCAUGUAUUCAAAGAUAUAUACAUAUACUUUAAAAAUUUAAUGAAACAAAAAUAUAUUUUAUUUUCACAUUUU
This is a long non-coding RNA of Vespa mandarinia (Asian giant hornet), 1120 nucleotides long. NCBI's taxonomy places the organism in Eukaryota, Metazoa, Arthropoda, Insecta, Hymenoptera, Vespidae. The record is from RefSeq and is a predicted model, not a curated record.